UGUGUACACGUGUAAAAGUGAAAUGACAUUCAGUGACUGCGUUGGGAAAACAGCUUGAGAUGAUCAUGAAGUAAAAUCCCGCGACAACAUUAACGGAAGUUUUGUAUGUAAGGGGUGAAAUGUAACAGGCCUAGUAAACGUAUUUAUCGAUCUCCGAUUGUUUUCAGGUAACGCUACUAAACAAACACGUGGAAAUACGACGUAAUGUUGUGCACAAAUAACACAUUAUGGUCAUGAAAAGCGAGGAAGAGGGGAAAACGACGCUAUUUGUCAGUCCAGCUACAUGUAUAUGUGCUGCCGAAGCAAGCACGAACAACGAGCUUGGAGGACUGCUAUAUAUCCUGUGGACUUCUGGGUAUGUUUCUGGCAUGUGGCAUGCGAAGACCUUCCCCCGCCGCAGCCCAGAGGACAACACACGCCGACACUAGAAAACGGUCCACCGAAACAUUCACAGACCCUCGGAGGCUAAGAAGAUCUCUAAAACCUGAAAAGCAGAGCUCAAAGCAGCUAUAGAACUGACAGCCGAAGAAACACUCAAGCUAAUGUGAAGGCUAGUGCUUCCCCUUUGUGUGCUCAGUGACAUUCUCAGGCAUAGCGUAGUGUAUGUUCAAUGUUUAAAAUGGGGUUUAGUUGCACCGAAAUGGGUCGUAAUGAUAUAUAUGUCUCAACCAUGUUUCUGAUAACUUACUUUUACAAUCUUUUAUCUGCAUAGCUUAAAAAGAGGGGUAUUACUACCAAAAAAUUACAGUUUACUCAUCAUUUACUCCAGCGUUAACUAGCUUGAGUUUCUUUUUUUGUUGUUGAACACAAAAGGAGAUGUUUUGAAGAAUGCUGGAAAAGGGUAGCCACUGACAUCUAUGGUAGAAUAAAAAUACACACAAAAAGCUACACAGCAAGUAUUUAUUUAAUUGAAAAUAAUACCAGUAAUAUUGUGAAUUGCUAUUAUUACAAGGUUUUUACUAUGUUAUUACUAUGGAAGUCAGUGGAUACUAGUGUUUCCAGUGAUGUUAGUUUGUGUUCAAAAGAAAAAGGAAACUCAAAAACAUUCAAAACUGGAGGAUGUGUGAACAAUCACAGAAUGUAAAUUUUUGGGUGAACUGUCUCUUUAAGUGGUUCAAAUACUGUGUUUGUUUAUUACUUUAUUAUCUGAACACAAAAGAAGAUAUUUAAAAAAAAUGUCCAAAACAUUACAUUCAUAGUAGGGAAGAAAAUACUAUGGCAGUCAAUAAUUACCGGUUUCAAACCUAUUUUCAAUUUUUUUUCAAAUAAAGAUGACAGAAU
Molecule: long non-coding RNA, 1281 nt
Organism: Danio aesculapii
Lineage: Eukaryota; Metazoa; Chordata; Actinopteri; Cypriniformes; Danionidae
Exons: 4
Source: RefSeq, a predicted model, not a curated record